Non-coding RNA from Rhinichthys klamathensis goyatoka, 453 nucleotides. Lineage: Eukaryota; Metazoa; Chordata; Actinopteri; Cypriniformes; Leuciscidae. The record is from the annotation of a RefSeq genome assembly.
GAGGGCAGUCCCAUGUUUCCCCAAAUCUCAUUUUGUAUGUCAUCUCCACCAGUCAUGUUUUUGAUUUACCUCACCAUUUUGGCACUUCUUACAGAAAGUGUUUUUGCAAAUGCAAUUACACCCCUAUAUGCUGAAAUGCAUGCUUUAGAAGGAGGAAAGACAACUCUUUCCUGCAACUACGAUGGAAGUAAUAUAAGGAGUUUUCAGUGGUACAGACAGUAUCCCAACACUGCCCCAGAAUUUCUCUUGCAAGCUUUUGAAAAUCUGGGUCCAGAGGAGAAUGACCGUCAUGUCGCUGAAGCGGUAAAGGACAAAAAACAACUGGACCUGGAGAUCUCCAAAACUGAAAUAGCAGACUCUGCAAUAUACUACUGUGCCCUGGUGCCCACAGUGACAGGAAACCUUUCUACACUGUACAAAAACACGAGAUGAUGAAAAAUACAUGAAUAACAU